RNAcentral lists this unclassified non-coding RNA (349 nucleotides) under uncultured Nocardiaceae bacterium. RNAcentral describes it as "contains 16S-23S intergenic spacer region". The record is from RNAcentral. Lineage: Bacteria; Bacillati; Actinomycetota; Actinomycetes; Mycobacteriales; Nocardiaceae.
UCCGAGUUGACCCCGGCAGUCUCUUACGAGUCCCCACCAUAACGUGCUGGCAACAUAAGAUAGGGGUUGCGCUCGUUGCGGGACUUAACCCAACGUCUCACGACACGAGCUGACGACAGCCAUGCACCACCUGUAUACCGACCACAAGGGGGGCCACAUCUCUGCAGCUUUCCGGUAUAUGUCAAACCCAGGUAAGGUUCUUCGCGUUGCAUCGAAUUAAUCCACAUGCUCCGCUGCUUGUGCGGGCCCCCGUCAAUUCUUUUGAGUUUUAGCCUUGCGGCCGUACUCCCCAGGCGGAACACUUAACGCGUUGGCUUCGGCACAGAGGGAUGACGUCGGAGGAAUUCCA